RNAcentral lists this ribosomal RNA (406 nucleotides) under uncultured bacterium. Its description in RNAcentral is "partial 16S ribosomal RNA". It matches the Rfam family "Bacterial small subunit ribosomal RNA", at positions 30 to 526 of the family's 1533-position model. The record is from RNAcentral.
AUUGAACGCUGGCGGCAGGCCUAACACAUGCAAGUCGAACGAGUGGCGGACGGGUGAGUAAUGUCUGGGAAACUGCCUGAUGGAGGGGGAUAACUACUGGAACCGGUAGCUAAUACCGCAUACCAUCGGAUGUGCCCAGAUGGGAUUAGCUAGUAGGUGGGGUAAAGGCUCACCAAGGCGACGAUCCCUAGCUGGUCUGAGAGGAUGACCAGCCAAACGGGAACUGAGAACCGGUCCAGACUCCUACGGGAGGCAGCAGUGGGGAAUAUUGGACAAUGGGCGCAAGCCGGAUGCAGCAAUGCCGCGUGUAUGAAGAAGGUCUUCGGGUUGUAAAGUACUUUCAGCGGGGAGGCGUUACCCGCAGAAGAAGCACCGGCUAACUCCGUGCCAGCAGCCGCGGUAAUUC